CUAAAGGAUCCCCCAAGGCCAGUCCCCCAGCCCUAAGCUGACAAGCCCCCAGAGCAGCUGCCAUGGCUUGGAGCACGAUGGCCCACUGCUGCCCUGACUCAGGUUCUAAGUAAGGGCCUACGGGGACCCCCCCUUUGUUUACAGAUGGGCCUCAGGCCCAGGCAGCAGGUCUGGAGUGGUCCCCAAGAUCCAGCAUUUCCAACACGCUCCCAGGUGACAUCGAUGCUGCAGCUGGUCUUCCGACCACACCUGGAGUAGCAAGAUUCUACAGCAGCACCACCAAGAGAAAUACAAGCCACCUAUUCUUCAAACCCUGGGGUGCAUUUUACACUCACAGCACAUCUCCAUCUGGACAAGCCACAUUUCAAGUGCUCAGUAGCCACAUGUGGCUAGUGGCUACCAUAUUGGACAGCAGAGCUCCAGAAGAUGGGAGGAAA
RNAcentral lists this long non-coding RNA (437 nucleotides) under Equus caballus (horse). RNAcentral's name for it is "lncRNA (ENSECAG00000044001.1)". Lineage: Eukaryota; Metazoa; Chordata; Mammalia; Perissodactyla; Equidae. The record is from RNAcentral.